Molecule: ribosomal RNA, 253 nt
Filed under: uncultured bacterium
Lineage: Bacteria
Description: partial 16S ribosomal RNA
Rfam family: Bacterial small subunit ribosomal RNA
Source: RNAcentral
GACGAACCGUGCGAACGUUGUUCGGAUUCACUGGGCUUAAAGGGCGCGUAGGCGGGUUCCCAAGUCAGGGGUGAAAUCUUUCGGCUCAACCGGAAAACGGCCCCUGAUACUGGUAGUCUUGAGGGAGGUAGGGGCAGGUGGAACUUCCGGUGGAGCGGUGAAAUGUGUUGAUAUCGGAAGGAACGCCGGUGGCGAAAGCGACCUGCUGGAUCUCUUCUGACGCUGAGGCGCGAAAGCUAGGGGAGCGAACGGG